This is a long non-coding RNA of Pan troglodytes (chimpanzee), 130 nucleotides long. RefSeq lists it as uncharacterized. The transcript has 2 exons. The record is from RefSeq and is a predicted model, not a curated record. NCBI's taxonomy places the organism in Eukaryota, Metazoa, Chordata, Mammalia, Primates, Hominidae.
CAGAAAUCACCCGUCUUCUGCGUCGCUCACGCUGGGAGCUGUAGACCGGAGCUGUUCCUAUUGGGCCAUCUUGGCUCCUCCUGUGACAUCUUCCUGCAGACAGACAGCGCUUGCUUCCCUGACAGGCUUG